Molecule: ribosomal RNA, 851 nt
Filed under: uncultured bacterium
Lineage: Bacteria
Description: bacterial SSU rRNA
Rfam family: Bacterial small subunit ribosomal RNA
Source: RNAcentral
CACAUGCAAGUCGCACGGUCAGCAAUGGCAGUGGCGGACGGGUGAGUAACACGUAGGAAUCUAUCCUGGGGUGGGGGACAACAGCGGGAAACUGCUGCUAAUACCGCAUGAUACCUGAGGGUCAAAGGCGCAAGUCGCCUUGGGAGGAGCCUGCGUCUGAUUAGCUUGUUGGUGGGGUAAAGGCCUACCAAGGCGACGAUCAGUAGCUGGUCUGAGAGGAUGAUCAGCCACAUUGGGACUGAGACACGGCCCAAACUCCUACGGGAGGCAGCAGUGGGGAAUAUUGGACAAUGGGGGAAACCCUGAUCCAGCAAUGCCGCGUGUGUGAAGAAGGUCUUCGGAUUGUAAAGCACUUUUGGCAGGGACGAUGAUGACGGUACCUGCAGAAUAAGCCCCGGCUAACUUCGUGCCAGCAGCCGCGGUAAUACGAAGGGGGCUAGCGUUGCUCGGAAUGACUGGGCGUAAAGGGCGCGUAGGCGGCGCGUACAGUCAGAAGUGAAAUUCCUGGGCUCAACCUGGGGACUGCUUUUGAUACGUGCGUGCUUGAGUGAGGAAGAGGGUUGUGGAAUUUCCAGUGUAGAGGUGAAAUUCGUAGAUAUUGGAAAGAACACCGGUGGCGAAGGCGGCAACCUGGUCCUUUACUGACGCUGAGGCGCGAAAGCGUGGGGAGCAAACAGGAUUAGAUACCCUGGUAGUCCACGCUGUAAACGAUGUGUGCUGGAUGUUGGGAAACUUAGUUUUUCAGUGUCGUAGCUAACGCGAUAAGCACACCGCCUGGGGAGUACGGCCGCAAGGUUGAAACUCAAGGAAUUGACGGGGGCCCGCACAAGCGGUGGAGCAUGUGGUUUAAU